UCACAUGACAGAUUCCUCUCGCGUCUCUCCACACAGCGUUCAAUCGCGGGAUUCUAGCGUCACUGAAGAACCGAGUCCGGCGCGGCAGGACGUCAACGACAGCGCAACAAUUAUUAGGUAUGAAGACAAGUUUUCAAGGGACCAGACACAUUUUCGAACGGACUGACUGUUGGCAGCGGAAAUUCUUGAGCAGUACGAUACUAUGAGUCAUCUUCAGUCAUCAUCUUCUAAAAUGAACCGUACAUUUCAUAGGCUAUCAGAAAGCGGACAGGAAAAUGGCGAGAGAGAGAAGGAGAGGAUGAAGAGAAGUGGCCCGAAGGAAUGGAAGAAGCCCCAGAGCAGAACCAGAGGGAGGGAGGGAUAACUGCUGUGACAUGAAAGAGUGAUAGAGCAGAUCACAGAAGACCUUUCAGCUGUGGGGCCAGUAGACAGACGCGCUCCUGGAGCCAGAGGAGAAGACCAGGGGCAAGAAGAGACCGUCUGCAUUCAUUUCCAAGCCUUUUGUCUCUCUACACACCUUUUCAACACGGGGCGCAAUUAUGAAACGGGUUUCAGUCAUUGAAGUAGAAUGUAACAACAACAAAAGGAAUCGAGUGUCUUCUGUGAAACAUUAAAUAUCCUCUGAUAACCCGGUAAA
This is a long non-coding RNA of Oncorhynchus kisutch (coho salmon), 637 nucleotides long. RefSeq lists it as uncharacterized. The transcript is spliced from 4 exons. NCBI's taxonomy places the organism in Eukaryota, Metazoa, Chordata, Actinopteri, Salmoniformes, Salmonidae. The record is from RefSeq and is a predicted model, not a curated record.